UGGGGAAUUUUGGACAAUGGGCGAAAGCCUGAUGCAGCCAUGCCGCGUGUGUGAAGAAGGCCUUCGGGUUGUAAAGCACUUUCAGCGAGGAGGAAGGUGGUGGACUUAAUACGUUCAUCAAUUGACGUUACUCGCAGAAGAAGCACCGGCUAACUCCGUGCCAGCAGCCGCGGUAAUACGGAGGGUGCAAGCGUUAAUCGGAAUUACUGGGCGUAAAGCGCACGCAGGCGGUUUGUUAAGUCAGAUGUGAAAUCCCCGGGCUCAACCUGGGAACUGCAUUUGAAACUGGCAAGCUAGAGUCUCGUAGAGGGGGGUAGAAUUCCAGGCGUAGCGGUGAGAUGCGUAGAGAUCUGGAGGAAUACCGGUGGCGAAGGCGGCCCCCUGGACGAAGACUGACGCUCAGGUGCGAAAGCGUGGGGAGCAAAACAGGAUUAGAUACCCUGGUAGUCCACGCUGUAAACGAUGUCGAUUUUGGAGGUUGUGCCCUUGAGGCGUGGCUUCCGGAGCUAACGCGUUAAAUCGACCGCCUGGGGAGUACGGCCGCAAGGUUAAAACUCAAAUGAAUUGACGGGGGUCAUAGCUGUUUCCUG
RNAcentral lists this ribosomal RNA (590 nucleotides) under uncultured bacterium. RNAcentral's name for it is "partial 16S ribosomal RNA". It matches the Rfam family "Bacterial small subunit ribosomal RNA", at positions 355 to 941 of the family's 1533-position model. The record is from RNAcentral.